RNAcentral lists this ribosomal RNA (429 nucleotides) under Actinomycetes bacterium. Its description in RNAcentral is "Actinobacteria bacterium partial 16S ribosomal RNA". It matches the Rfam family "Bacterial small subunit ribosomal RNA", at positions 355 to 776 of the family's 1533-position model. The record is from RNAcentral. Lineage: Bacteria; Bacillati; Actinomycetota; Actinomycetes.
UAGGGAAUCUUCCGCAAUGGGCGAAAGCCUGACGGAGCAACCCCGCGUGAGUGAUGAAGGUCUUCGGAUCGUAAAACUCUGUUAUUAGGGAAGAACAAAUGUGUAAGUAACUAUGCACGUCUUGACGGUACCUAAUCAGAAAGCCACGGCUAACUACGUGCCAGCAGCCGCGGUAAUACGUAGGUGGCAAGCGUUAUCCGGAAUUAUUGGGCGUAAAGCGCGCGUAGGCGGUUUUUUAAGUCUGAUGUGAAAGCCCACGGCUCAACCGUGGAGGGUCAUUGGAAACUGGAAAACUUGAGUGCAGAAGAGGAAAGUGGAAUUCCAUGUGUAGCGGUGAAAUGCGCAGAGAUAUGGAGGAACACCAGUGGCGAAGGCGACUUUCUGGUCUGUAACUGACGCUGAUGUGCGAAAGCGUGGGGAUCAAACAGG